UUAGGAAUCUUCGUCAAUGGGCGAAAGCCUGAACGAGCGACACCGCUUGAGGGACGAAGCCCUUCGGGGUGUAAACCUCUGAACAGGGGACGAUGAUGACGGUACCCUGCUAAUAGCACCGGCUAACUCCGUGCCAGCAGCCGCGGUAAUACGAAGGGGGCUAGCGUUGGAUUAGCUAGUUGGUGGGGUAAAGGCCUACCAAGGCGACGAUCCAUAGCUGGUCUGAGAGGAUGAUCAGCCACAUUGGGACUGAGACACGGCCCAAACUGCGCGCAAAUUACCCAAUCCCGACUCGGGGAGGUAGUGACAAUAAGUACUGAUACAGGGCUCUUUUGGGUCUUGUAAUUGGAAUGAGUACAAUUUAAAUCCCUUAACGAGGAACAAUUGGAGGGCAAGUCUGGUGCCAGCAGCCGCGGUAAUA
Molecule: ribosomal RNA, 421 nt
Filed under: uncultured bacterium
Lineage: Bacteria
Description: bacterial SSU rRNA
Rfam family: Eukaryotic small subunit ribosomal RNA
Source: RNAcentral